GUGACUAGUGACAGAGUGUGGAAGAGGGUGACUAGGGACAGAGGGGGUGAUUAAUGACAGAGUGAGGGAGGGGGUGACUAGUGACAGUGAGGGAGCGGGUGACAGUGACAGAGUUAGGGAGGGAGUGACUAGUGACAGUCACUCCCUCCCUCUGUCACUAGUCACCCCCUCUCCCUCCCUAUGUCACUAGUCACCCCCACUUACUGUGUUUCCCCCUCACUCUGCCACCACUCAACCCCUCCCUCCCUCACUCUGCCACCAGGUACCCCCUCACUCUGCCACCUGUCACAACCUCCCACACUCUUCCACCUGUCACCUUCUCCCUCACACACUGUCACCUGUCACAUAUGCAUUCACACAG
This is a non-coding RNA of Pelobates cultripes (western spadefoot toad), 361 nucleotides long. Lineage: Eukaryota; Metazoa; Chordata; Amphibia; Anura; Pelobatidae. The record is from the annotation of a GenBank genome assembly.